RNAcentral lists this ribosomal RNA (253 nucleotides) under uncultured prokaryote. RNAcentral's name for it is "partial 16S ribosomal RNA". It matches the Rfam family "Bacterial small subunit ribosomal RNA", at positions 524 to 776 of the family's 1533-position model. The record is from RNAcentral.
UACGGAGGAUGCAAGCGUUAUCCGGAUUCAUUGGGUUUAAAGGGUGCGUAGGCGGGCUAUUAAGUCAGUGGUGAAAUCCUGCAGCUUAACUGCAGAACUGCCGUUGAUACUGAUAGUCUUGAGUUUGGUUAAGGUAGGCGGAAUGUGUAAUGUAGCGGUGAAAUGCUUAGAUAUUACACAGAACACCAAUUGCGUAGGCAGCUUACUGAGCCGACACUGACGCUGAGGCACGAAAGCGUGGGGAUCAAAAAGG